AUUGAACGCUGGCGGCAUGCUUUACACAUGCAAGUCGAACGGCAGCGGGGACUUCGGUCCGCCGGCGAGUGGCGAACGGGUGAGUAAUGCAUCGGAACGUGCCUAUCAGUGGGGGAUAACGCUUCGAAAGGAGUGCUAAUACCGCAUAUUCUCCGAGGAGGAAAGCAGGGGACCUUCGGGCCUUGCGCUGAUAGAGCGGCCGAGGUCGGGUUAGCUAGUUGGUGAGGUAAAGGCUCACCAAGGCGACGAUCCGUAGCGGGUCUGAGAGGAUGAUCCGCCACACUGGGACUGAGACACGGCCCAGACUCCUACGGGAGGCAGCAGUGGGGAAUUUUGGACAAUGGGCGAAAGCCUGAUCCAGCCAUGCCGCGUGAGUGAAGAAGGCCUUCGGGUUGUAAAGCUCUUUUGUCCGGGAGGAAAUCCUGGCCUCUAAUACAGGUCGGGGAUGACAGUACUGGAAGAAUAAGCACCGGCUAACUACGUGCCAGCCGCCGCCGUAA
This 500-nucleotide ribosomal RNA is filed under the name uncultured bacterium. Its description in RNAcentral is "partial 16S ribosomal RNA". It matches the Rfam family "Bacterial small subunit ribosomal RNA", at positions 29 to 523 of the family's 1533-position model. The record is from RNAcentral.